GACGAACGCUGGCGGCGUGCUUAACACAUGCAAGUCGAACGGAAAGGCCCUGCUUUUGUGGGGUGCUCGAGUGGCGAACGGGUGAGUAACACGUGAGUAACCUGCCCUUGACUUUGGGAUAACUUCAGGAAACUGGGGCUAAUACCGGAUAGGAGCUCCUGCUGCAUGGUCGGGGUUGGAAAGUUUCGGCGGUUGGGGAUGGACUCGCGGCUUAUCAGCUUGUUGGUGGGGUAGUGGCUUACCAAGGCUUUGACGGGUAGCCGGCCUGAGAGGGUGACCGGCCACAUUGGGACUGAGAUACGGCCCAGACUCCUACGGGAGGCAGCAGUGGGGAAUAUUGCACAAUGGGCGGAAGCCUGAUGCAGCAACGCCGCGUGCGGGAUGACGGCCUUCGGGUUGUAAACCGCUUUCGCCUGUGACGAAGCGUGAGUGACGGUAAUGGGUAAAGAAGCACCGGCUAACUACGUG
Molecule: ribosomal RNA, 468 nt
Filed under: uncultured bacterium
Lineage: Bacteria
Description: partial 16S ribosomal RNA
Rfam family: Bacterial small subunit ribosomal RNA
Source: RNAcentral